UCCUACGCCAAGACAAGCCUAUCCUUUUUUUCUUACAACCCAUCUUAGUUUUAGGACAAGAUUCUCUAUAUUUAAGAAAAGCCUAAGUGAGGCCCUAAACAAAGGAGAAGAAAGUUCUAAAGGAGAGGUUGAAGAAGUCUAGAGGAGUCCUUGAGAGGGUGAAGUCAGAUUCCUGAAGAAAUCUGACUGGCAUGAGGCUAGUCAAAUUCUAGGGGCUAGAAUUCUUGAAGCA
RNAcentral lists this long non-coding RNA (232 nucleotides) under Elaeis guineensis (African oil palm). RNAcentral describes it as "long non-coding RNA (EGUI_LNC062531)". The record is from RNAcentral. Lineage: Eukaryota; Viridiplantae; Streptophyta; Magnoliopsida; Arecales; Arecaceae.